GACGUAGGGGGCGAGCGUUGUUCGGAAUUACUGGGCGUAAAGAGCUCGUAGGCGGGCUAAUAAGUCUUGCAACAAAGACUACGGCUUAACUGUAGGAAGUUGUGGGAUACUGUUAGUCUUGAGAACAGGAGAGGGGAGUGGAAUUCCUAGUGUAGCGGUGAAAUGCGUAGAUAUUAGGAGGAACACCAGUGGCGAAGGCGACUCUCUGGCCUGUUUCUGACGCUGAGGAGCGAAAGCCGGGGGAGCGAACGGG
This 253-nucleotide ribosomal RNA is filed under the name uncultured bacterium. RNAcentral describes it as "partial 16S ribosomal RNA". It matches the Rfam family "Bacterial small subunit ribosomal RNA", at positions 524 to 776 of the family's 1533-position model. The record is from RNAcentral.